RNAcentral lists this ribosomal RNA (492 nucleotides) under uncultured bacterium. Its description in RNAcentral is "partial 16S ribosomal RNA". It matches the Rfam family "Bacterial small subunit ribosomal RNA", at positions 29 to 507 of the family's 1533-position model. The record is from RNAcentral.
AGUGAACGCUGGCGGUAGGCCUAACACAUGCAAGUCGAACGGCAGCACAGUAAGAGCUUGCUCUUACGGGUGGCGAGUGGCGGACGGGUGAGGAAUACAUCGGAAUCUACUUUUUCGUGGGGGAUAACGUAGGGAAACUUACGCUAAUACCGCAUACGACCUACGGGUGAAAGCAGGGGAUCUUCGGACCUUGCGCGAUUGAAUGAGCCGAUGUCGGAUUAGUUAGUUGGCGGGGUAAAGGCCCACCAAGGCGACGAUCCGUAGCUGGUCUGAGAGGAUGAUCGGCCACACUGGAACUGAGACACGGUCCAGACUCCUACGGGAGGCAGCAGUGGGGAAUAUUGGACAAUGGGCGCAAGCCUGAUCCAGCCAUACCGCGUGGGUGAAGAAGGCCUUCGGGUUGUAAAGCCCUUUUGUUGGGAAAGAAAAUCAGCAGGUUAAUACCCCGCUGUUCUGACGGUACCCAAAGAAUAAGCACCGGCUAACUUCGUG